Molecule: ribosomal RNA, 484 nt
Filed under: uncultured bacterium
Lineage: Bacteria
Description: partial 16S ribosomal RNA
Rfam family: Bacterial small subunit ribosomal RNA
Source: RNAcentral
AUUGAACGCUGGCGGCAGGCCUAACACAUGCAAGUCGAGCGGAUGAAGGGAGCUUGCUCCUGGAUUCAGCGGCGGACGGGUGAGUAAUGCCUAUGAAUCUGCCUGGUAGUGGGGGAUAACGUCCGGAAACGGGCGCUAAUACCGCAUACGUCCUGAUGGAGAAAGUUGGGGAUCUUCGGACCUCACGCUAUCAGAUGAGCCUAGGUCGGAUUAGCUAGUUGGUGGGGUAAAGGCCUACCAAGGCGACGAUCCGUAACUGGUCUGAGAGGAUGAUCAGUCACACUGGAACUGAGACACGGUCCAGACUCCUACGGGAGGCAGCAGUGGGGAAUAUUGGACAAUGGGCGAAAGCCUGAUCCAGCCAUGCCGCGUGUGUGAAGAAGGUCUUCGGAUUGUAAAGCACUUUAAGUUGGGAGGAAGGGCAGUAAGUUAAUACCUUGCUGUUUUGACGUUACCAACAGAAUAAGCACCGGCUAACUUCGUG